This is a long non-coding RNA of Artibeus jamaicensis (Jamaican fruit-eating bat), 2191 nucleotides long. RefSeq lists it as uncharacterized. NCBI's taxonomy places the organism in Eukaryota, Metazoa, Chordata, Mammalia, Chiroptera, Phyllostomidae. The record is from RefSeq and is a predicted model, not a curated record. The transcript is spliced from 4 exons.
CAAAUCCUUCUUGUCAAUGGUCUGACCCUACGAAGCAGGCCCAUGUAGCACUCUGUCUGGCAUACAGAGUGCACUCUGCCCUCGCGGUCGCCGAAACGUUUACUCACGGAACAGCAUCAGGAGAACUCGAAGUCUAUUCCAGCUGAGAACGGCUCUUCCUUGGAGAUCCAUGCCUGCCGUGCGGUGAAUGAGGCCAGAUGUGCUGCUGCAGAGGCGGUCCGAGAGGGAAUCCCUUAAAGUCGCCGCUGGAGUGAGCCGAGACAUAACCACUCCUGUGAAUGUGUUAUGGGCCAUUUCUAACAAGCUUCCAGGCGAUGUUGCUGUGCUGGUGCAUUCUGUUUUGCGUUUUCCACAUUUACCUAAAUGCCGACUUGCAGAAGAGGAGACAAAAUCUACAGUUACGAAAACAGCGACCAGCACCAUUCAAGGAACGAAGAGCUCCUGAAGCACAGCUCGCAGUGACAUUUACAUAGAAUGCUGAUGCCCCCUAUGUUCUUGAAGCACAGCGUCAACUCAACUCUUUUAUUUGCUCCCCUCCCUCCCACUCAGUAAUAAUAAAAGAAAUACAAAUGACAAAACCCAUCAAAAGUAACAGUGGGUGGGAAAAGAAAAAUACUGAACCUCAUUUAACUGUCAUCAGCUUUGGAACCGUCACCGACAGUGAUGGUGACAAUGGUGACAAUGACAGGGCCGCUGGGAGUGGAGUGCCUCUGCAGGCGGUGCUGGCACCUGCAGGUGAUGCGGCGGAGACGGCUCCAGUACGCCAAGGCCCCCUGGCUUUCCUUUUUGAUUUUACCUCAGUGUUCAACCCAGUACUCCACGUUGCGUAUGAGUGUCAGGGUAAACAAGAAGGCUGUUUAAUUCCAUGUUCAGUAGAAAAAUAAUAUUGAAAAUAAUUAAACUGAGGCUUGAUGAUUCAUCCCUAGUCAUCUCUCUUCUGAAUGUGACCAUUUUUUGACAUGAAAAAUUUUGAUGGUUAACAGACUUCAUCUCCACCCUUCAGCCCAGAGGUAGUUUAUGUCUAAGUGGCUUAGAAAAACAAAACUACAGUAGUCACCCCUUAUCUGUGGGGGUAUGUUCCACGACCCCCAGGGGAUGCCUGAAACCAUGGAUAGUAGUUAACUCUAUACACCAUGUUUUUUCCUACACAUACAUACCUAUGACAAAGUUUAAUUUAUAAAUUAGGCACAGAAAAAGAUGAAUAACAUGAAUUAAUAAUAAACUGGAAUAAUUAUAAUAAUAUGUGGUAAUUAAAGUUACACGAAUGUAAUCUCUCUCUCAAAAUAUCUUGUACUUUACUGAGCUUCUCACUUAAAGGAAGCACUCUAUGGCUUCUCUCUGGCAUAUCUGAUUUGCCAACGUUAGUACCCUUGUGCUUUGGGGCCACUAUUAAGUAAAAUAAGGGUUAUUUGAACACAAGCACUGUGGUGCUGCAGCAGUCGAUCAGGUAACAGAGGUGGCUACUGAGUGACAAGAGGGCAGAGGAGCACAAACACAGCGCGGAGACGCCGGACAGAGGGAUGGUCUGAGCCCUGUGUGGGACACGGUGAGAUUGUGCAAAACUUCAGCACACUACUCAGAAUGACUGGGUUUAAACACUUAUGAAGCAUUUACUUCUGGAGUUUUCCAUUUAACAAUUUUGCAUCAAGGUUGACCAUGGGUAACUGAAACCAUGGGUAGGGGGGACUGCUGUUCAGAAGCUCUAGUAGCCCGUGGCUCUGUCAUUUCUUCAUGCGCCUUGGGAGUUUUUAUAGCAUGUUAAUGAAAAGAAGCACUGCACUAAACCCCCCUGCCUCUGUUUCCUGAGGGGGGAAAACAAAACAGAUCUGAUGGAAGUGGAGUGGGUCAGGGUGGAAAACAUUGGCUCUCCACCUAAUUCAUGUCAGGAGGAAACAGGGAUGGCCGAGAGUUCUAAAGAACACCAUAUGCCAGAGGGCAGAAAUAAUGAUGGGCGAUUGCAAAAGUGCCAAGUUAUCUCAUCAGUAGGGAUUCGCCAUCAUAUGGUGACCUCAUGAAAACCCUCAUAUCGGCACAGACGCCUAAUAAAUACAUGACCAGCAGGUCCUGUAAAUACCCAGACCCUGCUUACAGAAUUGUCUCAACUUAAAAAAAAACUUUUAUGAACAUAUGUUUUAUCUUUAUAAAAUGAAACCACUCAUCUGACUUUACUGUGAUUUCAAAUACAUUUAAA